RNAcentral lists this ribosomal RNA (200 nucleotides) under uncultured organism. Its description in RNAcentral is "partial small subunit ribosomal RNA". It matches the Rfam family "Bacterial small subunit ribosomal RNA", at positions 1183 to 1382 of the family's 1533-position model. The record is from RNAcentral.
CGUCAAGUCCUCAUGGCCCUUAUGUCCAGGGCUACACACGUGCUACAAUGGGCAGUACAGCGGGUUGCCUAGCGGUAACGCGAAGCUAAUCCCUAAAAGCUGCUCUAAGUUCGGAUUGAGGUCUGCAACUCGACCUCAUGAAGGUGGAAUCGCUAGUAAUCGCGGAUCAGCAUGCCGCGGUGAAUACGUUCCCGGGCCUU